This 1263-nucleotide long non-coding RNA is filed under the name Volvox carteri. RNAcentral describes it as "long non-coding RNA (VCAR_LNC002046)". The record is from RNAcentral. Lineage: Eukaryota; Viridiplantae; Chlorophyta; Chlorophyceae; Chlamydomonadales; Volvocaceae.
ACAAUUAACCAAGCAAGCAAAGCUGCGUGAGUGGAUGCAGAGGCUCGACUUCGGCGGUCUUGCCAUCUACGCUCGCACAUACGUACGUACAUACACCUCGUCGAAUGUGGACGAUGUUGAAUUGAGGCACCGCUUCAUGCAGCGAGGAGUGAGGGUGAGGGAUGGAAAAAGGCUUAAAAGGGAUAUUUACUCCGGGGCUGUGAAUGCUGGCGUGUGUUAAGGCAGGGGGCUCUAGCGGUGUGGGGGUUGCUCGGGAGUUAUAUGGACUUUAAGUUCGAUGGUCUGGUUUGCCGCCAGGCGGUGGCGGAGGGAGGUUCAUGUGCCCAUACAUCCAGGGGGAAACCGUAGAUCCAGCAGCCGUUGGUCGUACCAUACGACGGGCAUAUGAACACAGAUGGCUACGACGCUAUCCAUGUGAGCGCGACGAAGUACGACAUCCUCAUAAUUUCAUGUCCAUCAUAUUUCGGGCGGGCAUAUAAACAACUAUAAAAGUUUUGUUGAGCGCCCACCAAUUUAAAUGUUUUAACUUGCUGGCAUGAUGCUUAACGCGGAUGACCAUGUCGGAUGGAAAAGCAGGUUGCGGGGAGUGCACGGUACACGGAAAUUAACUAAUUGGUCUGGCAGAAACAUGCUUUUGCCGUAGGGAGAUAUUGGUCCCGUCUGCCCGUCUGCUGCUCCAUAUCGCCGCUUCACACAGUCCACAUGCCUUACCGUUUGGAGGAGCCAGCUGCGCGGGGCCGGUUUUCUGCGGAUUGCCACAAUAUGUUCGGACCAUUAUUUGAUGGUAGCUUUAAUGAGGAUGCGGGAAGCUGCCGGCUAGUGAUGUGUUUUGAACGAGCGUCAUUGAGCCCUGGCGGCUGCUUUUAAAACGAAUGCGUAAACGACAGUCAGUCGAGGUGGUUGAUUGCAUGAUCCAGAAAGAGCGGAAUGGUGCAAACGCCGGUUUAGUUUGUUUCAUAUAUCACGUCCCGGACUCCCGGUCUUGGCUAACGAACAACUGUAAGCCCGUCACUAUCGAAGAUCGAACGCGCGCACGAUAGCGCACACUAGGCAUUUUGCUUGUCUUGGUAUCCGAUGUAAAUACUCGCACAUAUCUAACUGGUUUUACGUUGCUCUAGACUACGAAGAAUCAAGCCCUUCCUCCCGGCAGGAUGUCCUGUUCACUCACGCAAGCUAUUACGAUUCAGAGUCCGAAUGUUGUGUAACCUUGAAGAAGAUUUCUGUGGCUUCAAUUGCCUGAACCCUUUCCAACGCGAGUCUCGG